This 253-nucleotide ribosomal RNA is filed under the name uncultured bacterium. Its description in RNAcentral is "partial 16S ribosomal RNA". It matches the Rfam family "Bacterial small subunit ribosomal RNA", at positions 524 to 776 of the family's 1533-position model. The record is from RNAcentral.
UACGUAGGUGGCAAGCGUUAUCCGGAUUUAUUGGGUGUAAAGGGCGUGUAGGCGGGAGCGCAAGUCAGAUGUGAAAACUCAGGGCUCAACCCUGAGCCUGCAUUUGAAACUGUGUUUCUUGAGUGCUGGAGAGGUAAGUGGAAUUCCUAGUGUAGCGGUGAAAUGCGUAGAUAUUAGGAGGAACACCAGUGGCGAAGGCGGCUUACUGGACUGUAAAUGACGCUGAGGCUCGAAAGCGUGGGGAGCAAACAGG